RNAcentral lists this ribosomal RNA (490 nucleotides) under uncultured bacterium. RNAcentral describes it as "bacterial SSU rRNA". It matches the Rfam family "Bacterial small subunit ribosomal RNA", at positions 244 to 727 of the family's 1533-position model. The record is from RNAcentral.
AGAGUUUGAUGGGUAAAGGCCUACCAAGGCGACGAUCAGUAGCGGGUCUGAGAGGAUGAUCCGCCACACUGGAACUGAGACACAGUCCAGACUCCUACGGGAGGCAGCAGUGGGGAAUUUUGGACAAUGGGGGCAACCCUGAUCCAGCCAUUCCGCGUGAGUGAAGAAGGCCUUCGGGUUGUAAAGCUCUUUCAGCUGGAACGAAACGGUACGCUCUAACAUAGCGUGCUAAUGACGGUACCAGCAGAAGAAGCACCGGCUAACUACGUGCCAGCAGCCGCGGUAAUACGUAGGGUGCGAGCGUUAAUCGGAAUUACUGGGCGUAAAGCGUGCGCUGGCGGAUUGUUAAGCAAGACGUGAAAUCCCCGGGCUUAACCUGGGAAUGGCGUUUUGAACUGGCAGUCUAGAGUGUGUCAGAGGGGGGUAGAAUUCCACGUGUAGCAGUGAAAUGCGUAGAGAUGUGGAGGAAUACCAAUGGCGAAGGCAGCCC